GCUUGCUUCUCUGCUGACGAGCGGCGGACGGGUGAGUAAUGUAUGGGGAUCUGCCUGAUGGCGGGGGAUAACUACUGGAAACGGUAGCUAAUACCGCAUAAUGUCUGCGGACCAAAGCGGGGGACCUCCGGGCCUCGCGCCAUCAGAUGAACCCAUAUGGGAUUAGCUUGUAGGUAAGGUAACGGCUUACCUAGGCGACGAUCCCUAGCUGGUCUGAGAGGAUGAUCAGCCACACUGGGACUGAGACACGGCCCAGACUCCUACGGGAGGCAGCAGUGGGGAAUAUUGCACAAUGGGCGCAAGCCUGAUGCAGCCAUGCCGCGUGUAUGAAGAAGGCCUUCGGGUUGUAAAGUACUUUCAGUCGGGAGGAAGGU
Molecule: ribosomal RNA, 374 nt
Filed under: Morganella morganii
Lineage: Bacteria; Pseudomonadati; Pseudomonadota; Gammaproteobacteria; Enterobacterales; Morganellaceae
Description: bacterial SSU rRNA
Rfam family: Bacterial small subunit ribosomal RNA
Source: RNAcentral